This is a non-coding RNA of Podarcis lilfordi (Lilford's wall lizard), 87 nucleotides long. NCBI's taxonomy places the organism in Eukaryota, Metazoa, Chordata, Lepidosauria, Squamata, Lacertidae. The record is from the annotation of a GenBank genome assembly.
UCUCCAGCUGUUUUUGGACUACAAUUCCCCUCAUCCCUGACCACUAGCUAGGGAUGAUGAGAGUUGUAGUCCAAAAGCAACUGGUGA